This 468-nucleotide ribosomal RNA is filed under the name uncultured bacterium. RNAcentral describes it as "partial 16S ribosomal RNA". It matches the Rfam family "Bacterial small subunit ribosomal RNA", at positions 28 to 507 of the family's 1533-position model. The record is from RNAcentral.
GACGAACGCUGGCGGCGUGCUUAACACAUGCAAGUCGAACGGAAAGGCCCUGCUUUUGUGGGGUGCUCGAGUGGCGAACGGGUGAGUAACACGUGAGUAACCUGCCCUUGACUUUGGGAUAACUUCAGGAAACUGGGGCAAUUACGGGUAAGAAGCUCUGGCGCCAGGUGGGGGGUGGGAAGGUUUCGGCGGUUGGGGAUGGAUUCGCGGCUUAUCAGCUUGUUGGUGGGGUAGUGGCUUACCAAGGCUUUGCCGGGUAGCCGGCCUGAGAGGGUGACCGGCCACAUUGGGACUGAGAUACGGCCCAGACUCCUACGGGAGGCAGCAGUGGGGAAUAUUGCACAAUGGGCGGAAGCCUGAUGCAGCAACGCCGCGUGCGGGAUGACGGCCUUCGGGUUGUAAACCGCUUUCGCCUGUGACGAAGCGUGAGUGACGGUAAUGGGUAAAGAAGCACCGGCUAACUACGUG